CUGCACACCCGCGGCAGGGGGAGAGCCGGCGUGCCGUCCUCGGAUCCCCAGUCCUCAUAGCGGCGACCGCCGGCAAAAGGCUGGGAACGUGGGAAAGUGAGCGGGUGUGCGCAGCGAAACAGGUUACAGGAGGGUGUAGCUGCAGCCUGUGUGAAUUUUCUGAAGUCUGAGAAAAUAGUCCUGUUGCAACCUACUUCCAAGCAUGACUGUCAUCCUGCCUAGGAAUGGGAAGGCAGUUUCAGGCAAUGAAAGCAGUGUGAGAAAAGAGAUGGGACAAGACUGCAUUGCCCCUUCGGAAGAUUGCAAGGAUGAUUGAAAGUGCUGUUGAACUGGGAAGAGCCAGAAACUGAACUGCUCAUUGUAUGCAGCUGGAAGCCAUGGUGAACAUUCUGCAAAGGCCUUCUACUGGGAGAUGACUCCGGUCACUGUUCCUUCCAUAGCAGCUGGUCCCUGUAAGACACUGAACCCUCAACACCCCUUACAAAUGUGGCUGAGGACCUGAAAGAAAUGCUGGUGCACCUGAUAUACUGUUCCAGGAGUCUUGUGAGAUUAACAGCUUGUAAAUGAUGGCAUACCUGGAAUAAGUUCCCUGUUGGCACUCCUGGGCAAUAUAUAAGAAGAAAAUGUGCAUCUUAGUACAGGCACACUUAAACCACAUGAAGGAGACCUGUAUUUUUGGAAUGACAGGUCCUCCUCCAUGUCUGGAGCAUGACCUAGUUGGUGACUAUCUAUUGUUUAUAGGCAAUGAUUCCUCAGAAACAAAUCAACUAAAUGAACAAACUGGAUGAUAAAGUAGAACGGAGAACUGCAUUGUGCUCCUCAGAGUCAUAAAAAUUCAUCCCUUUUACAACUGCUGAGUGCUUUGCCAAUAUCAUGCCAAGGUGAGAGCAGCUGGGGGAAGGGAAGGAUAUUGAAAAGGAAAAUAAAUAGGCCAGGUAAACAGUGCUGCUGCUGCUGCAGCAGCCGUGGUUGCCACGGCAACCGGGGUGAAGAGGAGGCGGAGGAGGAGGAGGAGGAGGAGGGGGGAGGUGGAUUGAUCGAUAGUCCUGUGCUGGCUCAUCUGGCUUCCAUCCACGUGCUGCUACAGAGGGAGAGAAAAUCAAAGAGCCACACGCAGGAUGGCCAGGUCUCCAAUUCAAUACAUGGCAGCAGCUUGAUCAAUAACUUGUUGGAAGCUGCUUUUCCACGCGCACAAAUAUGGAGCUGCUGUGAAAGCAUCUGA
This 1222-nucleotide long non-coding RNA is filed under the name Zonotrichia albicollis (white-throated sparrow). RNAcentral describes it as "lncRNA (ENSZALG00000000267.1)". The record is from RNAcentral. Lineage: Eukaryota; Metazoa; Chordata; Aves; Passeriformes; Passerellidae.